This 365-nucleotide RNase P RNA is filed under the name uncultured Paraprevotella sp. RNAcentral describes it as "Bacterial RNase P class A". It matches the Rfam family "Bacterial RNase P class A". Rfam says of the family: Ribonuclease P (RNase P) is a ubiquitous endoribonuclease, found in archaea, bacteria and eukarya as well as chloroplasts and mitochondria. Its best characterised activity is the generation of mature 5'-ends of tRNAs by cleaving the 5'-leader elements of precursor-tRNAs. The record is from RNAcentral. Lineage: Bacteria; Pseudomonadati; Bacteroidota; Bacteroidia; Bacteroidales; Prevotellaceae.
GUCGGACGGCCUGUCGCCGGCAUGUUCCCACGGAACGUGCGGGAGGAAAGUCCGGGCAAUUCAGGGCACUCCGCUUCUUAACGGGAAGUAGCCCGCGAGGGUUAGACCAUGCAGAAGAAAACAACCGCUUCCGGAAACGGGAGUAAGGGUGAGAAGGUGAGGUAAGAGCUCACCGGGCGGGCGGUGACGUCCGUGCCGUGCAUUCCGGAGAUUGAAAGUUCGCGUAUACCGGCGCAUACUGAAGGGCGGCCCGUCCAAGCCGGAGGGUAGAACGAUAGAGCCGUGCGGCGACGUGUGGCGUAGAUAAAUGACAGGCACUUUCCUUACAAAGGGAAGUACAGAACCCGGCUUACAGGCCGACUGCU